AGGGCUAAGUCCAAAACCAAAGCCGCCACUUCAAGAUUCUCUCCUGACGUUGUCGUGCGUAUAGCUGGCUCGAGAAUGUCCAUGUUAGGGCACUGCCCAGGUAAUGGUCGCUUUACGCGCUCCUAUUUAGAUCAKGCUCAAAGGGAGCAACCGGCCGAACAUCUGACCAUAUUGUUACUUUGUUUGUGACUUUCUGACAAUGUGAACGUUUAAUAAAUUUUAUGUAUUUAUCCAUCUAAGACAACCUGGCUAUGCCUGUCUCGACACCGGAGCUACUCCUAAUAUUGCUCGAAGUAGGCUUGCUCAGACACUCAUUGACGACCAAGACCCUUACACAGAGGUAAAUGAUCUAGACAUAGUUCGUGCGGAUGGAGUAAAGAGAUAGGUCCACGCAUUGCCCUACUAUAUCCCAGUAAUCCUCUACGUUAGGACAGUCCACAUACAAUUGGGAGCUAUACCAGAACAUGUCAACAGUCGCACCCUGCUGGGAACGGAAUUUAUUAGAUCAAUGAAACUUGUCAUAGACCUCAACAAUGAUUGUUUCUAAUUUACAGAUUGCAGUAGUAUUACCUACAGAUGCACUUCAGAAGAUGACGUUGCCAUGACCGCUGUCAAUUCGGUUUCACUCUUCAACGCUUUGCGCAAAGAUGACACUUCAAUUAUUAAGUUCUGCUCUGUUUUGCUGAAUAAAGGAAAACACGGUUAUGUAGCACAACUCAACGAUGACAGAUGGACCAAAAGACCAUUAGAAUGAAUAUCCCGUCAAGAUAGAAGAAGUCAGGGAGACCACCGGCGCGAUGGGCAGACGAUAUACGGAGAAUAGGACACAGCCGGAUGCAAUUUGAGCAACAUUGAAAUUCUUGGCGGCGUAUGGAGGAGGCUUUUGUCCAGCAGUGGACCCGAGAAGAAGCUGGAUGACAAUUCACAUAGAAUUAGUUAAUAGUGGUCAUUUAAUUACGUUACCCCGCGUUCUGUAAUAAACUAGCUUGGAGUUGACAGAUCAAUACACUUGGGCAGCAUAUAUUUUUAAACGAUGCUUUAUAAUAAUCACGUUACAGUAGAGGUGUGAUAUAUUGGCUUGUAUUUGUGAUAUAUUGUACUUAAAAGGAAGCUGUUCUAUACAUAAAUUACAUUACAUAAACAGUUA
This is a long non-coding RNA of Dendroctonus ponderosae (mountain pine beetle), 1147 nucleotides long. RefSeq lists it as uncharacterized. The record is from RefSeq and is a predicted model, not a curated record. Lineage: Eukaryota; Metazoa; Arthropoda; Insecta; Coleoptera; Curculionidae. The transcript is spliced from 2 exons.